GAUGAACGCUGGCGGCGUGCCUAAUACAUGCAAGUCGAGCGAACAGACGAGGAGCUUGCUCCUCUGACGUUAGCGGCGGACGGGUGAGUAACACGUGGAUAACCUACCUAUAAGUCUGGGAUAACUUCGGGAAACCGGAGCUAAUACCGGAUAAUAUAUUGAACCGCAUGGUUCAAUAGUGAAAGACGGCUUUGCUGUCACUUAUAGAUGGAUCCGCGCCGCAUUAGCUAGUUGGUAAGGUAACGGCUUACCAAGGCAACGAUGCGUAGCCGACCUGAGAGGGUGGUCGGCCACACUGGAAGUGGGACGCGGUCCAGACUCCUGCGGGAGGCAGCAGUAGGGAAUCUUCCGCAGUAGGCGAAAGCCUGACAGAACAACGCCGCGUGAGUGAUGAAGGUCUUCGGAUCGUAAAACUCUGUUAUUAGGGAAGAACAAAUGUGUAAGUAACUAUGCACGUCUUGACGGUACCUAAUCAGAAAGCCACGGCUAACUACGUG
Molecule: ribosomal RNA, 497 nt
Filed under: uncultured bacterium
Lineage: Bacteria
Description: partial 16S ribosomal RNA
Rfam family: Bacterial small subunit ribosomal RNA
Source: RNAcentral